This is a long non-coding RNA of Brassica oleracea var. oleracea, 391 nucleotides long. RefSeq lists it as uncharacterized. The record is from RefSeq and is a predicted model, not a curated record. The transcript has 2 exons. NCBI's taxonomy places the organism in Eukaryota, Viridiplantae, Streptophyta, Magnoliopsida, Brassicales, Brassicaceae.
CGCAGCAACAACAAACCAAACGCAGUGGUGCUCGUGGUGUUGAUGAGGCAGAAGAAGAUGGUGUUUGUUGGUGUUACGGCUGAGAAGAUUGGUGUUCAAGGCGAGUAGCAGUUACAUUGGCGGUGGUGCAGUGGUGGCCAACCGCCUAAGAAGAAGCUCCGGUGUGGCAAGAUUGACAGCGGUAAAGGCAGGCUGAGAUUGAAGGAGGAGGACGCUUGCUGAGAUUGACGGCGGAGAUAAAUCAUUGACGGCAAAGAGGAUUAGGUUUAGGUUUCUCUGGUUUAGUUGAGGUUUAUUUGGUUUACUUUAUUUUUAAAUUUUGGUUUAGUUUUGUAAACCAGAAAUUCUGUAAACCGAUUUUAAUUUAUCAAUAAAAUUUAUUUCAUUUUAA